Molecule: transfer RNA, 72 nt
Filed under: Abditibacteriaceae bacterium
Lineage: Bacteria; Pseudomonadati; Abditibacteriota; Abditibacteriia; Abditibacteriales; Abditibacteriaceae
Description: Abitibacteriaceae bacterium (rhizosphere metagenome) tRNA-Lys
Rfam family: tRNA
About the family: Transfer RNA (tRNA) molecules are approximately 80 nucleotides in length.
Source: RNAcentral
GGGGAUGUAACUCAAUGGUAGAGGAGUUGCCUUUUAAGCAACGGGUUGCGGGUUCGAGUCCUGCCAUCCCCA